GGCGAAAGCCUGAUGCAGCAACGCCGCGUGAAGGAAGAAGGGUUUCGGCUCGUAAACUUCUAUCAACAGGGACGAAAAAAAUGACGGUACCUGAAUAAGAAGCCCCGGCUAACUACGUGCCAGCAGCCGCGGUAAUACGUAGGGGGCAAGCGUUAUCCGGAAUUACUGGGUGUAAAGGGAGAGUAGGCGGCAUGGUAAGUUAGAUGUGAAAGCCCGAGGCUUAACCUCGGGAUUGCAUUUAAAACUAUCAAGCUAGAGUACAGGAGAGGUAAGUGGAAUUCCUAGUGUAGCGGUGAAAUGCGUAGAUAUUAGGAAGAACACCAGUGGCGAAGGCGACUUACUGGACUGAAACUGACGCUGAGGCUCGAAAGCGUGGGGAGCGAACAGGAUUAGAUACCCUGGUAGUCCACGCUGUAAACGAUGAGUGCUAGGUGUCGGGGGGGAACCCUCGGUGCCGCAGCUAACGCAAUAAGCACUCCACCUGGGGAGUA
RNAcentral lists this ribosomal RNA (491 nucleotides) under uncultured bacterium. RNAcentral's name for it is "bacterial SSU rRNA". It matches the Rfam family "Bacterial small subunit ribosomal RNA", at positions 374 to 882 of the family's 1533-position model. The record is from RNAcentral.